Molecule: ribosomal RNA, 489 nt
Filed under: uncultured Pseudomonas sp.
Lineage: Bacteria; Pseudomonadati; Pseudomonadota; Gammaproteobacteria; Pseudomonadales; Pseudomonadaceae
Description: bacterial SSU rRNA
Rfam family: Bacterial small subunit ribosomal RNA
Source: RNAcentral
AACUACAAAGGAAUUGACGGGGGCCCCGCACAAGCGGUGGAGUAUGUGGUUUAAUUCGAUGCAACGCGAAGAACCUUACCUAGGUUUGACAUCCGGAAGACCUUCCCGAAAAGGAAGGGUGCCCUUCGGGGAAUUCCGAGACAGGUGCUGCAUGGCUGUCGUCAGCUCGUGCCGUGAGAUGUUGGGUUAAGUCCCGUAACGAGCGCAACCCUUGUCCUUAGUUACCAGCACGUUAUGGUGGGCACUCUAAGGAGACUGCCGGUGACAAACCGGAGGAAGGUGGGGAUGACGUCAAGUCAUCAUGGCCCUUACGGCCUGGGCUACACACGUGCUACAAUGGUCGGUACAAAGGGUUGCCAAGCCGCGAGGUGGAGCUAAUCCCAUAAAACCGAUCGUAGUCCGGAUCGCAGUCUGCAACUCGACUGCGUGAAGUCGGAAUCGCUAGUAAUCGUGAAUCAGAAUGUCACGGUGAAUACGUUCCCGGGCCUU